CCUUGAGGGUCCAUGAGACUGGGGCAGCAGCAGGGGCAGGUACAGAGCACCUCAGCCGCCUCUCCACCUGACAGCAACAUCAAAGCCGAGGCCAAGGCGGGAGGGCCCAGAGUGAGACACCUCUUCCAGACAAGACUUGGUCGCUGCCUCCUCCUCUGUCACCCUGCGACACAGCCCAGAGUACCAGGCGGCUGGAGCACUGGGGGACACCCGGACAGAACCCUCCCUGGACCAAGUCCUCCAGGAACGGGAUGAAGCCAUUGCCAAGAAGCAGGCGGUGGAGGCGGAGCUGCAGAGAUGCAAAGCCAGGCUACACGCCAUGGAGGCCCAGCUGCUGGAGGUCCUGGAGGAGAAACUGAGGCUGAGGCGGGAGCUGGAGGCCUGGGAGGAGGACGUGCAGCAGCUGGUGUGGCAGCAGGUCCAGAAUCAGCUGCAGAGAGAGGCCAAGGGUACUCGGGGAGCCCACGUGGACCCUGGAGCUGCCAGCACCCCCCGAUCCAGAUUCUCCCUGGGUCGGGGACGUUGGUGGUGACACAGACCUCAGCCCAGGACUUUGGGAGUAGUGUCUUUAUUCAUUAAAGCCUGAGGUCUGACCACCCCUGUAAAACCUCGUGCCCACACAGUGCCUGUCUGAGUCCUUCUGUGCCCAAAUGUGGAGCAGGCUGCAGAGACUUGAAGCCUGGGGUUUUGUGCCUCCUUUUUGUUUUGUUUUUUUUGAGACAGAGUCUUGCUCUGUUGCCUAGGCUGGAGUGUAGUGGUGUGAUCUCGGCUCAUUGCAACCUCUGCCUCCAGGGUUCAAGUGAUUCUCCUGCCUCAGCCUCCAGAGUAGCUGGGAUUACAGGUGUGCACCACCACGCCAGGCUAAUUUUUGUAUUUUUAGUAGAGACAGGGUUUCACCAUGUUGGCCAGGCUGGUCUCCAACUCCUGGCCUCAAGUCAUCCUCCCGCCUUAGCCUCCCAAAGUGCUGGAAUUACAGGCAUGAGCCACCACGCCCGGCCAUCUUCUUGCCAGCAACUCUUAGACCAGGAAGCCUCGGAUGGCAGCUAUGAAGUCCUGUGGGCGGUCAGCGUGGAUCCAGUGGCCAGCGUUCGGCACCGUCUGCAUCUGGGCCCGAGGGAAGAGCCGCAUAAUCUCAGGGUGGUGGCUGGGACUGUGCAUCGCAGCGACGGCCAUCAAAAACGGGUGAAAGUGGGAUGAGGAGGAGUGAAAGAGACACGUGGAAGCAGAACGGGGAGAAAUGGAGAGAGCUGUGUGAGCCCAUAUGCCCGGUGGUAUUUCUGGCCUCUCAGCCACCCCCCUUCCACACCCAAGGCCUCCCCUGGUAGGGUCCCCAGGCUGGGGCCUGGGCGAGUAAAGCAUGCCCCUCCUACUACCCAGGCUAGCUUACUGCACGAACUGGGAGUUUCCACCAAGGAGAAAGAGUGUUGGCCCGAGGUAGGACUCCUGCCUCUGUGGGAAAGCCAAGAUCUUGUCUAGGUGCUGGGUCAGGGCAUCCAAGUUCACCCUCCACACGAAGCGCCCGUCUACCUCUACCAGGUUAGUGAGCAGGUGCUGCCGCACGGCCAUGUCCUGUGGGGGUGCAGCAGUUGGGGGAGGUUCCUUGUGCGGUCUGGGGGUGCCACUCUUCCCUUGACAGGUCCUGGUCUACAAUACCAUCCGGGGCACCUUGGGUGUAUCACCUGGAUGACAGAACUGAGCUGUUCAUCCGCCAGUUUUCGGGCACGGGAGCGGGGCAGCUCAUCUGCGAUGUUGAUGGCCCUCAUGGCUGCCACAUAGGUUGCAAAGUGGGAGACACCUGUGCUUUCCACUGGGCUGAUAUCUACAGCAAUGAGACGUUCCACCAGCUCUGGCUGUGGGAGAGAACCGAACUGGGACCAGUCUUAGGCAGACAUAGGGAGUCUCAGGCAUGGCUCCUGGAGCCUGAACUUGGUCAUCCAACGAUCAUGUGAGUCCCAGGUUGCCUGCAGGGCCCUCAGGGUAUAUACUGAAUGGGAGGAGGCCCCAGACAUGGGCGGCUCACCCUCUGUAGUGCCAGCAGCAUGGCUGUCUUUCCUCCCAUGCUGUGGCCAACGACGACGCAGGGCACCAGGCCCAGCUGGGGCAGAAGGUCCUGCAGGUCCUGGCUCAUGAUCUCGUAGCUCAUGUCUGGGCUGUGGGGGCUGUCACCGUGGUUACGAGCAUCCACCGUCAGCACCUGGGGAGUGGGGUGAGACGGGGCUGCGUUGAUAUCCCCAUUCUGGGGGUAGACAGCCAAAGGCUUGUAGGGACAGCAGGUCAAAGGUGUGGAGAGCCUGGGGAUACACCCUGUGGAGGGGAAGGGCCCAGUUUCCAGACCUAGGAGGCCCAGAUGAAGAACCUGGGGCCACUCUGCCAGAGAAGAGCAGGCCCCAGGGUUGUGACCACGUCUCUGAAGGGCUGGCCUGGCUGGGUGGCAAUCUCGGAGAAUGCCAGGAAGGAGACUCCAGGAAUUUCCAACAGUAGGAGCACAGAAGAAUGGGCUGCCAUAAGAGGUGGUGAGCUCCCGGUCAUCCCUAGUGAACAAGCAGGCCCCUUCAUGGAAAGGGUGCAGGCGCCUAGGCAUGGGCCAGCCCCGAUGGAGAUCUACAACAUGAAUUAAUGAAGAUGGCAACGUGAGGGAAUAAAUGGGGUUGCCGUUCAGGGUCCAUACUCAGAGUGAGGGAUCUGGAAGUGAGCGUGAGAAGCGGGACCCCCCCUGCCCCGCCUCCUCUCAGGCCCCGCCCACUCCCGCCCAGCCCCAAAGGAGCCCCGCCCACUCGAAAGCUCACCCUACGGCCUGUCUGCUGGGCCAAGAUCUUGGCGAUGGAGUUGAAGUUAGUUUUGCUGCCGAAGAGCCCGUGCAAAAAGACGACGGCCGGGAGGGCUGCCUCCCCGUCCAGAAGCCUGUAGGAAAGCGGAAGCGGCCUGGCAGGGGAAGGAUCGAGGUCAGAGUCUGAGCCGGCGGAGACGGGGAAAGGGGUAGGGGGAAAGAGCUUUGGGGGAGAGGCCUGGGAGGUGACAGGCCCAAAGGGAGGAGAUGGGGCCGUCGGGGCCCGGCAGGAAAAGGAGGACAGAGGAUGGCCUCCCGCCCGGUGCCCUUGACUGACCUCGGCUCGGCGCCCCCUCGGCCGCCGCUGCUGCUGCUGGGUGCGACAGGCACCCUCGCGAAGCUAGGGCCGUGGGGGCCGAGUCCCUCACGCGGGAGCCUCCAGGCUCGGGUCCAGCGGAGCAUGCUUGCAAGCUGUUGGCCGGCUCGCAUCUCACAAGGUACGUCCUCCCCGCGCUCCUUCUCCCGCCCUAGCUCGCAGCCCCGCCCAUUUCCGUCUUCAGCCGCCCCGCCCAGUUCCGACUUGAGCCCCGCCCUCUCCCCGCCCCCAUCGCGGGAUUCUCCGCCCUUGGUCCCGUUUCCUUACGUAUCCCCGAGAACAGUCCGGCCCCGCCUCCAUCCCCGCCCCUUACGCCAUUACGUAAUCCCCGCAGGCUUUGCGCGGGUCGCCCUGAGCGCCGCACCUGGCCUCGCCCUAGGCUGGGCAACCCGCGGUGCUUGCCCCUCCCCUCGCGAAGCGCCGCGGUGCGUAGAAUCUGGGAAUUCGGUCUGCGCCGCUCUGUGCGUGCUCGGUUCUGGUUGCAGCUUAGGGCUCGGUUCCCGCCCCGCACCUGCCAUCGCUCACUGACCUGGGUGGCUGCCAUCGUUUCUGUGCCGCCGGCGGGGGCGAGCGGCGCCAGGGUGGCUCUGGGCGGCGGAGUGCCAGUGUGGUGGCGCCGUGCUCCACUGCCGGGGGCCCGGGCAGGUUGGGCGGAGCACGGACACCCACCCAUCCUGGAGUCGUCGAUCUAGAAGGAGCUCGGGGGCACUCUAGAGCUCUUCCCCAAGCCCCUUCGUCCCUUUUACGUUUGGGGAAGGCUCCCCCAGUCUGAUCCCACCUGCUUUUCUGCCCAUACUCCCCAUUCUCAUACUCCCCUAUCAGGCACCCUGCCUUUCAAGGUCUUCUCCACACCCCACCUCCUGCUGGGGUGCUGUCUGUCUUCCAGAUAGCCAGUUGCCCGAGUCCUAUACUUUUUUUUGGUGGGGGUCUUACCCUCGCCCAGGCCGGAGUGCAGUGACGCGACCGUAGCUCACUGCAGCCUCGACCUCCUGGGCUCAAGCGAUCCUCCCGCCUUUGCCUCCCGAGAAUCUGGGACUACAGGCGCAGACUAAUUUUAACAUUUUUUUUUUUUUUUUUUUUUUUACUGAAUCAUGGUUACAAUUUUUUUUUUUAGGCCGGGUGCGGUGGCUCACGCCUGUAAUCCCGGCACUUUGGGAGGCUGAGGUGGGCAGAUCACCUGAGGCCAGGAGUUGGAGACCACCCUGGCCAAUAUGGUGGAACCCCGUCUUUACUAAAAAUACAAAAAUUAGCUGGGCGUGGUGGCGGGUGCCUGUAAUCCCAGCUACUCGGGAGGCUAAGGCAGGAGAGUCGCUUGAACUCAGGAGGCGGAGGUUGCAAUGGGCGGAAAUCAUGCCACUGCACACCAGCCUACCGGACGGAGACAGACUCCGUUUAAAAAAAAAAAAAAUUGCCGUGGGUGGUGGCACGGCCCUGUAAUCCCAGCUACUGGGGAGGCUGAGGCAGGAGAAUCGUGUGAACUUGGGAGAUGGAGGUUGCAGUGAGCCGAGAUCUUGCCACUGCAUUCCAGCCUCAGUGACAGAGCGAGACUCCAUCUCAAAAAAAAAAUUUUUUUUUUAAAAAAUAGAAGCGGGGGCUUGCUAUGUUGCCCAGGCUGGUCUCGAACUCCUGGGCUCAAAGUGCUGAGAUUACAGGCAUGAGCCACCACACCUGGCCCAACAAAAUUUUUUUUAGAGAAGGGGUCUUGCUACCUUGCCCAAGCUGGUCUCCAGCUCCUGGCCUCAAGCGACCUUCCUGUCUCAGGUAUAUGGCUUUUAUUUUAUUUUUUCUGAGACAGGGUUUCACUGCGUCACCCAGGCUGGACUGCAGUGGCACAAUCACGGCUCACUGCAACCUCUUCCCCCUGGGCCCAGGCAAUCUUCCUGCCUCACCCUCCCGAGUAGCUGGGACCACAGAUGUGCACCACCAUGUCUGGCUAAUUUUUUUCUGUUUUGUAGAGAUAGAGUCUUACUAUGUUCUAGGCAUAGCAAGGGGACAGUUUCAGGCUGGUCUGGAACUCCCAGACUCAACUGAUCCUCCUGCCUCAGCCCCCUGAGUAGCUGGAAUUACAGGUGUGCUCCACCAUGCCUGGCCUCAGCUAUAGGCCUUUUAAGGCAUUGUAUAACUGCUGCCUCCUCCUCAAGCCUUCGCAGACUUUCUGAGUUAAAACUAAUCUCUUUCAUGGAAUGUUCUGGAAGCAUUUCUCAGAGGCUACUGUGUAGUAUUAUAGAGGCAGCCCUCCCUGUGUGUCCACAGCGGGAGCUAUGUCUUGUUCAUCUGGUGCAAAGUGGUAAUAGUCAUCAAGAGCUUCAGGGCACUGGUAAAUGCUUAUGUGGAAGUCCUGCGGGUGGCUGGGUUAGUGGCCCUCCCGGAUAUGACACCUGGGCCAGCUAGUCUUACACUGACCCCUCCCCCACCUCCUUAGGGCGGUCCAGGACCUACAGGAUGAGUCCUAACUUUUUUUUUAAAAAAAUAAUUAAUUAAUUAAUUAUUACUAUUAUAUUUUGAGACGGAGUUUUGCUCUUGUUGCCCAGGCUGGAGUGCAAUGGUGCGAUCUUGGCUCACCGCAACCUCUACCUACUGGGUUCAAGCGACUCUCCUGCCUCAGCCUCCCGAGUAGCUGGGAUUACAGGCAUGCGCCACUACGCCGGCUAAUUUUGUAUUUUUAGUAGAGACGGGGUUUCUCCACGUUGGUCAGGCUGGUUCAAACUCCCGACCUCAGGUGAUCUGCCCGCCUCGGCCUCCCAAAAUGCUGGGAUUACAGGUGUGAGCCACUGCGCCUGGCCAUUAAUUUUUUUUUUUUUUUGAGACAGGGUCUGGCUCUGUCAUGGAGGCUGGAACCUGGCUCACUGCAACCUCUGCCUCCCGGGUUCAAGCAGUUCUCAUGCCUCAGUCUCCCGAGUAGCUGGGACUACAGGCGCGCAUCACCACACCUGGCUGAUUUUUUUCUGUUUUUGGCAGAGACAGGAUUUCACCAUGCUGGCCAAGCUGAGGAUGUGUCCUAACUCUGUAAAGCUCCAUCUCCUGCUUAAUGGGACCCUGAGGUGUUUGGUUCCAAUCUGAGGAGGGCUGAGGUCACCGAGGACUCUAAGCACACCAGGUGGUGUGAUCAUGUUUCCCGCAUAGUAAUUAGGGGAGUGAUGAGGACAUCUGAGCCCUGUAUGGGGGCUGGUCCCAGGCCUGGGAGGGGUCCUUGGAGAGUGUUUUUCUAGAGUUGGUGGGUGUUUUUCUAGAGUUGGUGGGUGUUUUUCUAGAGUUGGUGGGUGAAGGGCGUGGGGGUUGAAGAUUCAGAACAAUAGUAUUUCAAAGGUGCUUUUUUUUGUUUGUUUGUUUUGAGAGAGUCUCUCUGUUGCCUAUGCUGGAGUAUAGUGGGACAAUCUCAGCUCACUGCAACCUCUACCUCCCGGGUUCAAGCGAUUCUCUUUUGCAGACUCCCAAGUAGCUGGGAUUACAUGUAUGCGCCACCAUGCCCGGCUAAUUUUUGUAUUUUUAGUAGAGACUGAGUUUCACCGUGUUGGGCAGGCUGAUCUCAAACUCCUGACCUCAGGUGAUCCUCCUGCCUCGACCUCCCAAAGUGCUGGGAUUACAGGCAUGAGCCACUGUGCCUGGCCUCAAAGGUGCUUUCAAAUUGAUCCCUGCCAUACACCCCACCCUCCACCAGGUAAUCUCAGCCUGGCCCAAGAUCCCCACAUCUAGGGGCAGAAGCAGCCUUGAGAUAUUUACUCAGAGUCCUGGGCCCCAGCCCUGAUCAGGUGGCUGAUGAAGGCAAGCAGAAAAACCAGUUGGUUUGAUGUUUCCACUUGAACAUUCCAGAGAAAGUGGUGGGGGCAGGGGAGGGGUCGUUGCUACCUGGGAAUGGAUCUGGGGGUGGUGUCAUCCUGGGGGCUGCCCAGCCCUCUCAGCUUGUUAGGAACAGGCCAGGAAGCGUGCUGUUGGUUGGCGAAGGCCUCCUUCUAGGGGAGGCCAGAGGGGAGGACUUCCGGAGCCCCUGACAUGUGGAGGUGAAGGUGGGAGGUGAAAUGGACUAUCGCUCUUUGGAGGUCGAGUGUACACUGCCCCAUCCGUGUUCCCAGGCUUCCUGUGAAGUGGGAGGGUGCCGUCCUUAUUCUGCUGAUGAGGAAAGAGAGGCUUGGACGGCGAAGUAACCCAGCUCCAGGUCACUCAGCCAGUGCACAGCCCGGAUUGUUUCCUUCACUGACUCCUAACGCAGUGCUCCGUGUAUUUCAUCACCACCCUUCAGGCCGUGGGGACCAAGGGCCGAAGGGGUGCGGCCUGAGGCGGCCGGGACACUGCGCCUAGGUGGCGCGGUGGCAUUGAAUGGGUUAAGGAGGGGAGGUGGCGGGUGUCCCUUAACUGCACCUGGCCCAGUAUCGGUCACGUGGCCAGGGUUUCACCUGCCCCGCUGAGCAGGGACAAUCAGGCUGCUUGUUUUGUGGCCGGUCGCCAUGGUGACAGCAGCUUGCCAGGGGCGGUCAUGGGGCAAAUUCCUGCUGGCCAGCCGGGUGGGGCAGGAGUGUCAGCUGUGCUGGCACCAGUCGGGGCUUCCCGAAAGACCCCUGGAGCUUUCCCGUGGGGCUGUCCCUGGGGGGCCCCUAUGUGACUCCGCUCGAAACCUCCUCCCAUCUCAACCCCCACAUCAGCCCAGCUUCUCUCCUCCCAGAUUUUGAACCUGAGUUGAUGUAUUAAGCAGCCGGGAUUUUCAUAUACGUUAUUGUGUUUAAUCCUCACACAGCAACCUUUCCCAUGUGGGAAUGGUAAUCCCUGCAGGUCUGCUGCCGGCUGCGCCUCCCCUACUACUCACCCAACACUUUGAGAACACUGGCUCCUUCCUGCCUUGCUUCAACAAGCCCAGAUCCAUUAGAGCCUCUCACUGCACGCCAAGCACCUUCCUAGACGCAGCCGUGAACAAAACAACAAAUUAAUCUCACAACAAAGGAUUAUGUCCGAGUAUUUAUUUUCUUCGGAACAGGUUAGGUUGGCCCCAGUCAUCCAGAGAAGGUGGGGACGGUACAGGAUCAGGCCAGGGCUCUGGUAUCCAGAACAUCUCCACAAGCUCUCUCUGCCACCUCCCUGCCUCACCCGCACCUGCUGCCCACCAAGCCUUCCCACGGAUUGUCCACAGAUUCCCACCAGCCCCACAGAUUCUCCUGCUUCCAGUCAUUGCUCCCUCUGCUCCCUAACCUCCAACAGGCCCUGCUGACAGUAACAGUUGUCAAUUUUUUUUUUUGAGAUGGAGUCUCGCUCUGUCACCCAGGCUGGAGUGCAGUGGCACGAUCUUGGCUCACUGCAACCUCCACCUCCCAGGUUCAAGCGAUUCUCCUGCCUUAGUCUUCAGAGUAGCUGGGAUUACCGGCACGCACCACCACGCCCAGCUAUUUUUGUAUUUUUAGUAGAGACAGGGUUUCACCGUAUUGGCCAGGCUGGUCUCGAACUCCUGACCUCAGGUGAUCCACCCGCCUCGGACUCCCAAAGUGCUGGGAUUACAGGCAUGAGCCACUGUGCCCCACUGGUUGUCAACUAUUUUUUUCUGCCUCCUGAUUCUGUGGAAGACCCAGUGUCUCCCAGGAACAGUCUCAUCACAUGUACAGAUUCUUUCUUUUUUCUUUUUUAUUGAGACAGGGUCUGGCUGUUGUUGCCCAGGCUGGUCUCAAACUCCUGGGCUCAAAUGAUCCUCCUGCCUCGGCCUCUCUAAGUGCUGGGAUUACAGAUGUGAUUCUUAAAGUGGCAGGGUGAGGACACCUUCCUUUUUGGAAUGAAUGGAGGAUGGUGAGAGAGUCUGUGUAUUUUGACACCCAGCAACCUCUACCCCACUUGCCUGCAGGAUACAGCUCAGUCUCCUCUGUCUGCAUUUUGGUGUCUUUAUUUUAUUUAUUUAUUUAUUUAUAUAUUUAUUUAUUUAUUUUUAUUAUUAUUUUAUGAGGCAGAGUCUCGCUCUGUCCCCCAGGCUGGAGUGCAGUGGCGCGAUCUCAGCUCACUGCAAGCUCCGCCUCCUGGGUUCACACCAUUCUCCUGCCUCAACCUCCCGAGUAGCUGGGACUACAGGUGCUCACCACCAUGCCUGGCUAAUUUUUUUGUAUUUUUAGUAGAGACGGGGUUUCACCAUGUUAGCCAGGAUGGUUUCGAUCUCCUGACCUUGUGAUCCGCCCGCCUCGGCCUCCCAAAGUGCUGGGAUUACAGGCAUAAGCCACUGCGCCUGGCUUUUAUUUAUUUAUUUUGAGAUGAAGUCUCACUCUGUUGCCCAAGCUGGAGUGCAAUGGCACGAUCUCGGCUCACUGCAACUUCUGCCUACUGGGUUCCAGCAAUUCUCCUGCCUCAGCCUCCUGAGUAGCUGGGACUACAGGCAUGAGCCACCAUGCCCAGCUAAUUUUUGUAUUUUUAGUAGAGAUGGGGUUUCACUAUGUUGGCCAGCCUGGUCUCGAACUCCUGACCUCGUGAUCUGCCUGCCUUGGCCUUCCAAUGUGCCGGGAUUACAGGAGUAAGCCACCGCGCCUGGCCCUGGUGUCUUUAUUUUUUUGAGACGGAGUCUUGCUCUGUUGCCCAGGCUGGAAUGCAGUGGUGCAAUCUCAGCUCAAUGCAAUCUCUGCCUCUCAGAUUCAAAUGAUUCUCUUGCCUCAGCCUCCUAAAUAGCUGGGACCACAGGCAUGCACCACCACACCCAGCUAAUUUUUUUGUAUUUUUAGUAGAGAUGGGGUUUCACCAUGUUGGCCAGGAUGGUCACCAUCUCUUGACCUCGUGAUCCACCUGCCUCGGCCUCCCGAAGUGCUGGGAUUACAGGCAUGAACCACCGCCCCCCACAGGUUCUGUUUAUUUUUAUCCCUUAAAUAGCUCUGAUUCCUUUUUAAAUUUUAUUUAUUUACUUAUUUAUUUAUUUAGAGACAGAGUCUUACUCUGUUGUCCAGGCUGGAGUGCAGUGGUGAAAUCUUGGCUCACUGCAACCUCUACCUCCUGGGUCCAAGUGAUUAUCUCGUGCCUCAGCCUCCCAAGUAACUGGGAUUACAGGUGUGUGCCACCACACCUGGCUAAUUUUAGUAUUUUUAGUAGAGCUGAGGUUUCACCAUGUUGGCCAGGCUGGUCUCGAACUCCUGACCUCAGGUAAUCUGCCUGCCUCUGCUUCCCAAAGUGCUGGGAUUACAGGCGUGAGCCACCACGCCUGGCCUAAUUUUUAAUUUAAUUUUAAUUUUAUUAUUACUUUUUGAGACAGGGUCUCACUCUGUUGCCCAUUUUAAUUUUUUUAUUAUUUUUUGAGACAGAGUCUCACUCUGUUGCCAAGGCUGGAGUGCAGUGGUGCAGUAUUAGCCACUGCAACCUCAACUUCCUGGGCUCAGGUGAUCCUUCCACCACAGUCUCCCCAGUAGCUGGGACCAGAGGCACAUGCCACCUUGCCCGGCUAAUUUUUGUAUUUUUGGUAGAGAUGGGGUUUCGCCAUGUAUCCUAGGCUGGUCUCAAACUCCUGGGCUCAAGCGAGCCUCUGGCCUCAGCCUCCGGAAGUGCUGGGAUUACAGUCCUGAGCCACCGGGCCUGGUCAAGCUCUGAUUUCUAUCCAGCACCCUCCAUUUCUAGGGCCUUAUCUCUCCUCUGCCUUGCCACCUCCUCCUGGACUUGUCCAUUUUGGCCCUUCUAGACAUUUCUGUCCCUGGUCAUCAGCAUGAUCUUUUAACAACGUAAAAUAUGCUUCUAUGUUAAUCAUUUUUCUUGUUUUGUACAUUUUCCUAUUUUUCUGUGUUCUGGGUUCUGGGCUCAUUGCCCCGGGGGAUGCAUACGGCUGGACCUAAGAGUGGAGAAGCUGGUUUAUGUGUUUCAAAAGCUAAAGCCCUUAAGGGAAGGGAAUGCUUCAGCAGAGACAGUAUCUUGGCCAAGAAUGGAAGGAAGGUCUGCCACCUGCUUCUUGGCAGGGUCCCCAGAGAAGAAUGGCUCAUGAGCCUGCCAGGCCGGCAGGACCAUAAGCAGCUUGCAAAAUAUUCCUCUGUUUCCCAGGUUCAGAGCAGACACAGUGCAGCCUGCGGAACUGGAGGGGCUGUUGACACAGGAUGAUGGAUGUCUUGUCAUUGCUGCUAGAGGGCUGGAUGCUGUACAACUCCCUGCAGGCUCCCUCCUCUCUAAGCAAAUCUGGCCCUGUUGAGUAUGCAGGAAUUGUGGCCCAGUCUCAGGAGGACUGAGGUUAAACUUGUUUCCAGGCCGGCUGUGAUGGUCACGUCUGUAAUCCCAGCACUUUGGGAGGCUGAGGCAGGUGGAUCACUUGAGGUCAGGAGUUCGAGACCAGCUUGCCCAACAUGGUGAAACCCCGUCUCUACUAAAAAUACAAAAAUUAGCCAGCGUGGUGGCACCCACCUGUAAUCCCAGCUACUUGGGAGGCUAAGGUAGGAGAAUUGCUUGUAUCUGAGACGUGGAGGUUGCAGUGAGCCGAGAUUGAGUCACUGCACUCCAGCCUGGGUGACAGAGCGAGACUCCAUCUCAAAAAAAAAAAAAAACUUGUUUCCAGCUGCUUCUGCAGAAUAGAGCAUCGAGGAUGGACACUAAGGUGAAUUACAGAAAAUAAUGUCAUUGCACAUUUAAGUUUGUUACUGACAUUCGGUAACUGCUAGAAUGCCAUACAUAUUGGUCCACAACCAACUGACUUUCCUUUUCUUUUUCUUUUCUUUUCUUUUUUUUUUUUUUUGAGACAGAGUCUGGCUCUGUUGCCCAGGCUGGAGUGCAGUGGCAGGAUCUCGGCUCACUGCAACCUCUGCCUCCUGGACUCAAGAGAUCCUCCCACCUCAGCCUCCCAAGUAGCUGGACUACAGGUGCAUGCCACCACACCUGGCUAAUUUUGUUUGUUUGUUUGUUUGAGACCCCAGAACACAGAGCCCAGAAAAACAGGAAAAUGUACAAAAAAACAAAAUAGAUUAAAAUAGAAGCAUAUUUUAUGUUGUUAAAAGAUCAUGCUGAUGACCAGGGAGGGAAAUGUCUGGAGGGGCCAAGAUGGACAAGUCCAGGAGGAGGCAACACAGGAGUCUUGCUCUAUCACCCAGGCUGGAGUGCAGUGGCACGAUCUCAGCUGACUACAGCCUCCGCCUCCCGAAUUCAAGCAAUUCUCCUGCCUCCACCUCCCAAGUAGCUGGGAUUACAGGUGUGUGCCACCACGCCCAGCCUAAUUUUUGUAUUUUUCUGUAGAGACGGGGUUUCACCACAUAACCCGGUUGGUCUCAAACUUCUGAGCUCAAGUGAUUCUCCUGCCUCAGCCUCCCAAAGUGUUUACAGGUGUGAGCCACCGAACCCAGCCUCUUUUUUUUCUUUUUCUUUUUCUUUUUUUUUUUUUUUUUUUUAAAGAGACAGGGUCUUGCAUUGUCAUAUCCAGGCUGGAGUGUGAAGUGCAUUAAAACAAUCAUAGCUCAUUAUAGCCUCCAACUUCCUGGCUCAAGUGAUUCUCCUGCCUUAGCCUCCUAAGUAGCUGGGACUACGGGUGUAUACCACCACACUGGCUAAUUUUACGUAUUUAUUUAUUUUAGUUUUAGAGAUGGGGGUCUCACUAUUUUGCCCAGUCUGGCCUUGAACUCCUGGGCUCAAACAAUCUUCCCUCCUCAGCCUCUGGACUAGAUGGGACUACAGGUGCACACCACCGUGAUUUACAUUUUUAUUUAUUUUCAUUUUUAUUUUUGAGAUGGAGUUUUGCUCUUGUCACCUAGGCUGGAGUGCAAUAGUGCAAUUUCGGCUCACUGCAACCUCCACCUCCUAGGUUCAAGUGAUUCUCCUGCCUCAGCCUCCUGAGUAGCUGGGACUACAAGUGUGAGCCACCAUGCCUGGCUAAUUUUUUGUAUUUUUAGUAGAGAUGGGGUUUCACCAUGUUGGCCAGGCUGAUCUCAAACUCCUGACCUCAAGUGAUCUGCCCACCUUGGCCUCCCAAAGUGCUGGGAUUACAGGCGUGAGCCACCGUGCCCAGCCGAUUUACUUCUUUUGUUUUUUUUGAGAUGGAGCCUCGCUCUGUCUCCCAGGCUGGAGUGCACUGGCGCCAUCUCAGCUCACUGCAACCUCCACCUCCCGGGUUCAAGCAGUUCUCUGCCUCAGUCUCCCAAGUAGCUGGGAUUAUAGGCUCCCGGCUAAUUUUUGUAUUUUUAGUAGAGAUGAGGUUUCACCAUCUUGGCCAGGCUGGUCUUGAACUCCUGAUCUCAUGUGAUCUGUAUGCCUCAGCCUCCCAAAGUACUGGGAUUACAGGCAUGAGCCACCAUGCCCCGCCCGGUUUACAUUUUUGUUUUUUUUUGAGGCGGAGUCUUGCUCUGUCGCCCAGGCUGGAGUGCAGUGGCACCAUCUCAGCUCACUGCAAGCUCCGCCUCCCAGGUUCCCACCAUUCUCCUGCCUCAGCCUCCCGAGUAGCUGGGACUACAGGUGCCCACCACCACACCCGCCUAAUUUUUUGUAGUUUUAGUAGAGACGGGGUUUCACUGUGUUAGCCAGGAUGGCCUCAAUCUCCUGACCUCGUGAUCCACCCUCCUCGGCCUCCCAAAGUGCUGGGAUUACAGGCGUGACCCACCGCACCCAGCCCCGAUUUACACUUUCAAAGGACUAUUUGGCUGUGUAGAAGAAGGUGUGAGGCAGAUUAGAGGGGAAGCAGAGGAGAAGCGGCAAAAUGAGGAAGCUAUUGCAGACAUUCAACUGAGGCAUGAUGGUCACAUGACUGGAAGGUGGCUGUGGAAGUAGGGAAAGAAAGAUAGAUUUGGGAUGAAGACACCAAGGACAGCUCCCAGGUUUCUGGAUUGAACAUGUGGGUGGCGAGUAGUUGUGCUAUUUACUGAGAUGGGGAAGGUGGUUUUGUUUGUUUGUUUUUUUCCACUCUAUAGGGUGCAAGUAAGGAGACUCUAGAAUGUCCACUUGGGACAUUCUAGCAGUUACCGAAUGUCAAUAAAAACUUAGAUGUGCAAUGACAUUAUUUUCUGUAAUUCAUCUUAGCUUUCACCCCAGUGCUGUAGGGGGCCUGCCCCUCCACACCUGUGGGUAUUUCUCGUCAGGUGGGACGAGAGACUGAGAAAAUAAAUAAGACAGAGACAAAGUAGAGAGAAAGAACAGUGGGCCCAGGGGAUCAGCGCUCAGCAUACGGAGGACCCGCACCGGCACUGGUCUCUGAGUUCCCUCAGUAUUUAUUGAUUAGUAUUUUCACUAUCUCGGCAAGGGGAAUGCAGCAGGAGAACAGGGUGAUAGUGGGGAGAAGGUCAGCAGGAAAACGUGAGCAAAGGAAUCUAUGUCACAAAUAAGUUCAAGGGAAGGUACUGUGCCUGGAUGUGUACAUAGGCUAGAUUUAUGCUUCUCUCCACCCAAACAGCUCAGUGUAGUAAAAAAUUACAGCGCAGCAUUGCCGCCAGCAUAUCUUGCCUCCAGCCACAGGGCGGUUUUCUUCUAUCUCAGAAUAGAACAAAUGUACGAUCGGGUUUUACACUGAGACAUUCUGUUUCCAGGGACAAGCAAGAGACAGAGGCCUUCCUCUUAUCUCAACCGCAAGAGGCCUUCCUCUUUUACUAAUCCUCCUCAGCACAGACCCUUUUUUGGGUGUUGGGCUGGGGGACGGUCAGUUCUUUCCCUUCCCACGAGGCCACAUCUCAGGCUGUCUCAGUGGAGGGAAACUUUGGACAAUGCCCAGGCUUUCUUAGGCAGAGGUCCCUGCGGCUUUCCGCAGUGCAUUGUGCCCUUGGUUAAUCGAGACUGGAGAAUGGCGAUGACUUUUACCAAGCAUACUACCUGUAAACAUAUUGUUAACAAGGCACAGCCUGCACAGCCCUAGAUCCCUUAAACCUUGAUGCCAUACAGCACAUGUUUCUGUGAGCACAGGGUCGGGGCUAAAGUUUACGGAUUAACAGCAUCUCAAGGCAAAACAAUUUUCUUAGUACAGAUCAAAAUGGAGUUUCUUAUGUCUUCCUUUUCUACAUAGACACAGUAACAGUCGGAUCUCUCUCUUUUCCCUAUACAAUGCUCUAUAUGUUUGAGAUGCCCCUGAGAUAUUAGAACAGUUAACACUUAUGGAAUGCUUAACAAAUGCCAAGCACUGUUCUUGUUACCAAAACAGCAGGGGUUCAGGCGAGGUCCUGCUGCUUGCCGCACAGAAAGCCAAUCACUGAGACGAUUAUUGCCAAGGAAGAAGGCUUUAAUUGGGUGCUGUGGCUGAGAUGGGAGAUUGGUCUCAAAUCCAUCUCCCUGAUCGACUGAAGUUAGGGUCUUAUAUAGCAGGGAACAAAUGUAACCAUGUAUGGGAAAACAAGAACUUGGGGGAAGGGUAAGGAAGCAAUCAUGAUGAAUGAGGGGCCUGGCAUUUCAUUGUCUAGAUGCCAUGAUCUGGUGAGUUUCAGUUCUUUCAUACUUUUUGAGAGGGCUGAUGGUCAUUUCCUAAAGAAGAAAUUCAGAUCAAGUAAAUGUAAGUUUCAAGCUUUAAGACCAAAAGGGUUGACCCGCACCAUGGCUCAUGCCUGUAAUCCCAGCACUUCGGGAGGCUGAGGCCAGUGGAUCGCUUGAGGUCAGGAGUUUAAGACCAGCCUGGCCAACAUGGUGAAACCCCAUCUCUUCUAAAAAUACAAAAAAUUAGCUGGGCAUGGUGGCGCACGCCUGUAAUCCCUGCUACUCAGGAGGCUGAGGCAGGAGAAUCACUUGAACCCAGGAGGUGGAGGUUGCAGUGAAGCGAGAUCAUGCCACUGCACUGCAGCCUGGGCCAAAAGAGUGAAACUCCAUCUCAAACAAACAAACAAACAAACAAACAAGAAAACAAAGUACUAGGAUUAUAGGCAUGAGCCAACACUGUGUCCGGCUUAUCUAAGAUUUUCAUAGCUAGAGAGAAGUUAAUGCCUGGCUUUGAAGCUUCAAAGGACAGGCUGACUCUUGUUCGGGGUAAUGCAGCUGGUGACUUGAAGUUAAAACCAAUGCUCCUUUGCCAUUCUGAAAAUCCCAGGGCCCUUAAGAAUUACAUUAAAUCGGCCAGGUGCGGUGGCUCACACCUGUAAUCCCAGCACUUUGGGAGGCUGAGGUGGGCAGAUCACCUGAGGUCAGGAGUUCGAGACCAGCCUGACCAAUAUGAUGAAACCCUGUCUCUACUAAAAAUACAAAAAUUAGCCAGGUGUGGUGGCAUAUGCCUGUAAUCCCAGCUACUUGGGAGGCUGGGACAGGAGAAUCGCUUGAACCCAGGAGGCAGUGCCGUGAGCCGAGAUUGCGCCACUGCACUCCAGCCUGGGCAACAAGAACGAAACUCUAUCUCAAAAAAAAAAAAAAAAAAAAAAAAAGAAUUACAUUAAAUCGACUCUGCCUGUGCUCUAGAAAUGGAACAACAAAGCUUAGGUGACUGCACAUCUGUUUACAAGAUGGUUUGCUGAAUAUUUGAAGCCCACUGUUGACACCUCCUGCUCAGAAAAAAGAAAAGAUUCUGUUCAAAAUAGUAUUGCUUAUUGACAAUGCACCUGGUCACCCAAGAGCUCUGCUGAAGAUGUACAAAGAGAUUAAUGUUGUUUUCAUGGCUGCAAAUAAAACAUCCAUUCUGCUGUUCAUGGAUCAAGGAGCAAUUUAGACUUUUAAGUCUUAUUAUUUAAGAAAUACAUUUUGUGAGGCUGUAGCUGCCAUAGAUAGUGAUUCCUCUGAUGGAUCUGGGCAAGGUAAAUUGAAAACCUCCUGGAAAGAAUUCGCCAUUCUGGAAGCCAUUAAGAACAUUCAGGGUUCAUGGGAGGAGGUGACAAUAUCCACAUUAGCAGGAGUUUAGAAGAAGUGAAUUCCACCCUCAUGGAUAAGUUUGAGGGAUUCAAGACUUCAGUGGAGGAAGGAAUUGCAGAUGUGGUGGAAAUAACAAAAGAACUAGGAUUAGAAGCCAAGCGUGAAGAUGGGACUGAAUUGCUACAAUCUCAUGAUCAAACUUGAAAAGAUGAUGAGUUGCUUCUUUGUUACGUCUUGGUGUUUUUUGAGACAGAGUCUCGCUCUGUUGCCCAGGCUGGAGUGCAGUGGUGUGAUCUUGACUCACUGUAACCUCCGCCUCGUGGGUUCAAGAGAUCCUCAUGCCUCAGCCUCCUGAGUAGCUGGGAUCACAGCUGUGCACCACCACACCCUGCUACUUUUUGUAUUUUUUUUUUUUUUUUUAGAGAGGGGCUUCGCCUUAUUGGCUAGCCUGGUCUUGAACUCCUGGUCUCAAGUGAUCUGCCUGCCUUGGCCUCCCAAAGUGUUGGGAUUACAGGCAUGAGCCACUGUGCCUGGCAAGGGGUUGCUUCUUAUGAUGAGCAAAGAAAGCGGUUUCUUUUUUUUUUUUUUUGGAGACGGAGUCUUGCUCUGUCACCCAGGCUGGAGUGCAAUGGUGCCGUCUGGGCUCACUGCAAUCUCUGUCUCCUGGGUUCAAGCGAUUCUCCUGCCUCAGCCUCCCAAGUAGCUGGGACUACAGGCACGUGCCAGCAUGCCCAGCUAAUUUUUGUAUUUUUAGUAGAGACAGGGUUUCACCAUGUUGGCCAGGCUGGUCUCAAACUCCUGACCUCAAGUGAUCCACCUGCCUCAGCCUCCCAAAUUGCUGGCAUUACAGGCGUGAGCCACCGCGCCCAGCCAGAAAGUGGUUUCUUGAGAUGGAAACUACUCCUGGUGAAGAUUGUGUGAACACUGUUGAAAUGACAACAAAGGAUUUAUAAUAUCCUAUAAACUUGGUUGAUCAGCCAUCUAAGUUUUAUAGUUUUAGAUCUUAUAUUUAGGUCUUUGAUCCAUUUUGAGUAAAUUUUUUUAUAUGGUGUUAAGGAACCAACUUCAUUUUUUUGCAUGCAAAUAUCCAGUUUUCCCAGCAUUAUCUGUGAAAAGAUUGCCCAUUCCUCACUGAGUGGUUUUGGUAUCCUUAUUGAAAAUUAUUUGACUUCAUAUAUGAGUGUUUAUUUCUGAGCUUUUUAUUCUAUUCCAUUGGUCUAUAUGUCUGUCUUCAUGCCAGUACCACUGUUUUGAUUACUGUAGCUUUGUAGUAAGUUUUGAAAGCAGAAAGUAUGAGUCCUCCAACUUUGUUCUUUUUUUUUCUGAGACAGAGUCUCACUCUGUCACCCAGGUUGGAGUGCAGUGGUGCAAUCUCAGCUCACUGCAACCGCCACCUCCCAAGUUCAAACAAUUCUUGUUCCUCAGCCUUCUGAGUAGCUGGGAUUACAGGCUCGCACCACCAUGCCUGGCUAAUUUUUGUAUUUUUAGUAGAGACGGUGUUUCACCAUGUUGGCCAGGCUGGUCUUGAGCUCCUGACCUCAGGUGAUCCGCCUGCCUCGACCUCCCAAAGUGCCGGGAUUACAGGCAUGAGCCACCGCGCCUGGCCUCUUACUGUUUCUGGAUAUGAAUUUCCUGCUUCAAUCAGGUCAGCCUCUGCUCACUCUUGUGCAUAUCAUUUUUCUGCCUUGUGCAUAUCAUUUUUCUCCUUGCUGUUGCCCAUCAGUGAAUCCUGCUUGGGAAGGCUUCCCCUCUUAGCUCUGCCCAUCUCAAACUUACUUAUUUAAGACUCAGAAGCAUACUUAUAGGUUGGGCAUGGUGGCUCACGCUUGUAAUUCCAGCAUUUUGGGAGGGUGAGGUGGGCGGAUCACUUGAGCCCAGGAGUUCCAGACCAGCCUGGGCAAUAUGACAAAACCCUGUCUCUAUUUAAAAAAAGAAAUUUAGGCCGGGCGCAGUGGUUCAUGCCUAUAAUCCGAGCACUUUGGGAGGCCGAGGUGGGCGGAUCACAAGGUCAGGAGAUCGAGACCAUCCUGGCUAACAUGGUGAAACCCCGUCUCUGCUAAAAAUACAACAACAACAAAAAAUUAGCCGGGUGUGGUGGCAGGCACCUGUAGUCCCAGAUACUUGGGAGGCUGAGGCAGGAGGAUAGCAUGAACCCGGGAGGCAGAGCUUGCAGUGAGCUGAGAUGGCGCCACUGCACUCCAGCCUGGGCAACCAAGCGAGACUCCAUCUCAAAAAAAAAAAAAAAAAAAAAAAAAAAAGAAAUGUAAUUAAAAAACAACAACAACAACAACCAGCCCUGCAGCACUAUUCACAAUAGCAAAGGCAUGGAAUCAACCUAAAUGCCCAUCAGUGAUAGACUGGAUAAAGAAAAUGUGGUACAUAUACACCAUGGAGUACUAUGCAGCUAUAAAAAAGAAUGAGAACGUGUCUUUUUCAGGAACAUGGAUGGAGCUUGAGGCUGUUAUCCUUAGCAAACUAACACAGGAGCAGAAAACCAAAUAGCGUAUGUUCCUGCUUAUAAGUGGGAGCUAAAUGAUAAGAACUUAUGAACACAAAGAGGGAAACAACAGACACUGGUGUCUACUUGAGGGUGAGGGUGGGAGGAGGGAGAGGAGCAGAAAAGAUCACUAUUGGGUACUGGGCUUACUUGGGUGACAAAAUAAUCUGUUCAACAAACUCCUGUGACACGUGUUUACCUAUGUAAGAAACCUUCAUAUGUAUCCCCAAACCUAAAAUAAAAGUUAAUUAAAAAACCCAACCAAACCAAAAACCGGCCAGGCGUGGUGGCUCACGGCUGUAAUCCCCACACUUUGGGAGGCCAAGGUGGGCAGAUCACUUGAGGUUAGGAGUUUGAGAGCAGAUGGGCCAACAUGAUGAUACACCAUCUCUACUAAAAAUACAAAAAGUUUGGCUGGGGAUGGUGGCUCACGCCUCUAACCCCAGCACUUUGGGAGGCCAAGCCAGGAGGAUCACCUGAGGUCAGGAGUUCGAGACUGGCCUGGCCAACAUGGCAAAACACUGUCUCUACUAAAAUUACAAAAAUUAGGCGUGCUGGUGGGUGCCUGUAAUCAUAGCUACUUGGGAGGCUGAGGCAGCAGAAUUGCUUGAAUCCGGUAGGUGGAGGUUGCAGUGAACCGAGAUCGUGCCAUUGUACUCCAGCCUGGGCGACAAGAGGUAAACUCUGUCUCAGAAAAACCCCCAAAGUUAGCUGGGCAUGGGGGUGGGUGCCUGUAAUCCCAGCUACUUGAGAGGCUGAAGCGGGAGAAUUCCUUAAACCCGGGAGGCGGAGGUUACAGUGAGCUGAGAUCGCACCACUGCAUCCUAGCCUGGGCCAGAGAGCGAGACCCCGUCUCAAAGAAAACAAUAACAACAACAAAAAACUAAAAAACCAAAACCAAAACAAAAAAACCCUACUUAUUCAAGGCUGUCUAUGAAGUCUUUUUAGACUGUUAUACCCCUCUAUGACCUUUGAACUCUUCUGGACCCAAUCUGCUAUUCCUUGAUUGCACAUAAGACAUAAUUAAUUUAUUUUCCAAACUGCAUGAUGGGCGCGGGCCUUGUCUUCCCUUUACAGAGCAUCAGCUCUGAGCAGGGCAUUCUGCUAGGCUCAGGGCAUACUGAGGAUGACAAGAUGCUUAGGGGUUGCUCCCUGACAGAGCAUGGUCUGGGGGUAGAGGAAAGAUAAGCUAAGAGGUGAUUCUGGACCAGUGUAACAAAUAGCAUCGAAUGGUCAUGGUUGCGGGAUGCACAGGAGUCAGGGAACCGUUCUCAACUGAGAUGUGAAAUGACCUCUUUUUUUUUUUUUUUUCUUUUUUGAGAUCGAGUCUCACUUUGUCACCCAGGCAGUGCAGUAGUGCAAUCUCGGCUCACUGCAACCUCCGCCUCCCGGGUUCAAGCAGUUCUCCUCCUCAGCCUCCCGAGUAGCUGGGAUUACAGGCGCCCGCCACCACGCCUGGCUAAUUUUUUUGUAUUUUUAGUAGAGAUGGGGUUUUACCAUGUUGGCCAGGCUGGUCUCGAACUCCUGGCCUCAAGUGAUCCACCUGCUUUGGCCUUCCAAAGUGCAGGGAUUACAGGCGUGAGCCACUGUACCCGGCUGAAUGAUUUCUCUCUUUCUUUUUUUUUUUUUUCCCUGAGCAAUCUUGCUCUCUUGCCCGGGUACAGAGCAGUGGCACGAUUAUAGCUCACUGCAGUCUUGACCUUAUAUGCUCAAGUGAUCCUCUCACUUCAGCCUCCCAAAUAGCUAGGACUAUAGGCAUGUGCCACCAUGCCUGGUUAAUUUUUAACAUUUUUUGUAGAGAUGGGGGUCUUGCUAUGUUGCCCUGGCUGGUCUCAAGUGAUCAACUUCUGGGCUCAAAGUGAUCCUCCCACCUUGGCCCCCCAAAGCGCUUGUAUUACAGGCAUGAACCACCAGGCCUAGGCUAUAAAGUGAUCUCUAAGCUUGGCAAGUAGAGUGGGGUAAGAUUGGAUAAACUGCCAAGAAGAGAGAACUUGUGGCCAGGCAUGAUGGCUCAUGCCUGUAAUCCCAGCACUUUGGGAGGCCGAGGCGGGAGGAUCACCUGAGGUCAGGAGUUUGAGACCAGCCUGGCCAAUAUGGUGAAACCCCACUUCUACUAAAAAUACAAAAUUUAGCCAGAUGCAGUGGCACGUGCCUAUAAUCCCAGCUACUCAGGAGGCUGAGGCUGGAGAAUUGCUUGAACCCAGGAGUGAGCUGAGAUUGUGCCACUGCACUCCAGCCUAGGUGACAGAGCAAGACUCUGUCUCAAAAAAAAGAAGAGAGGGCCGGGCAUGGUGGCUUACACCUGUAAUCCCAGCACUUUGGGAGGCUGAGACGGGCGGAUCAUCUGAGGUCAGGAGUUCGAGACCAGCCUGGCCAACAUGCUGAAACCCCUGUCUCUACUAAAAAAAUACAAAAAUUAGCCGGGCGUGGUGGCAUGUGCCUGUAAUCCCAGCUACUCAGGACGCUGAGGCUGGAAAAUCACUUGAACCCAAGAGGCAGAGGUUGCAGUGGGCUGAGAACGUGCCACUGUACUCCAGCCUGGGCAACAGAGCAAAACUCUUUUCUCUAGAGACGAAGAAGAGAGAACUUGUGCUGAAGCCUAUGGUCCAGAGAGUGCAGGGAGAGUGCAGGGUUUUUGAGGAGAGAAAGGAUGUCGAGUGGGGUUGAGCUUGGUGGCUGGGAUGUGGAAGGGCAGUUUGGGGAGCACAGGUGGAAACAGAGAGGCGAGCAUGGCCUGUGCUCACAGGGGCUCCUAAGGCAUGGCAUGAAGUCUGAGUGGGAUCUGGAGGGCCAUCUGGGGGUAGAGGGCCUGAAGGAUUUUAAGUAGGGGAAUGACAUGGUCAGACUCAGGAUUGCACUGCGACUAAUGGCUUGGAAAGGGGCAUAGCUAGGUUGGGAGUGUAGGGAGGGAGCCUGGGGACCAGAAACCCUCUCCAGGCUGUUACAGAAAGAGGGUGGUGUCCUGGCUGAAGUUGCGGCGGUGCGAGUGGAGAAUAGAGGUCGAUGCAUCCAGACAUAAAGAGAAGGUUGACAGUUUAGGGACUGGUUAUUUUAUUUUAUUUUUUUUUGAGACUGAGUCUUGCUCCGUCGCCCAGGCUGGAGUGCAGUGGCGUUAUCUUGGCUCACUGCAAUCUCUGCCUCCUGGUUUCAAGCGAUUCUCCUGCCUCAGCCUCCCAAGUAGCUGGAAUUAUAGGCGUGUGCCACCACGCCCAGCUAAUUUUUGUAUUUUUAGUAGAGACAGGGUUUCACUAUGUUGGUCAGGCUGGUCUCGAACUCCCGACCUCAGGUGAUCCACCCGCGUCGGCCUCCCAAAGUGCUGGGAUUACAGGGUGAGCCACCGCGCCUGGCACCACCUUUUUUUUUUUUUUUUUAAAUUUUGGAGACAGAGUCUCGCUCUGUCGCCCAAGCUGGAGUUCAAUGGCGUGAUCACGGCUUACUGCAGCCUCGACCUCCUGGGCUCAAACAAUCCUCCCACCUCAGCCUCCUGAGUAGCUGGGACUACAGGCAUGCACCAACACAUCUGGCUAAUUUUUGCAUUUUUUAUAGAGACAGGGUGUUGCUUUGUUGCCCGGGCUGGUCUUGAACUCCUGGCCUCAAGUGAUCCUCCCAUCUCUGCUUCCCAAAGUGCCAGGAUUGCAAGCGUGAGCCACUGCACCUGGCCAAUACCCCUUCUUUUAUAGUUAUGAGCUAGAGGCAGCAAGUGACUUGGUCAAGGUCCCACAGUGGGCACCUGACACCCAUGCUCUUGCUCUCUCCUGGCUCUGCAGAGCAUUCUUGUCUCAGCAUGGGUGACCUUUCGGGCAAUCCUGGUAUGGGAGGGGGAAGGAAGGUACUAUCUGUUCUUCCAGGCCAGCCACAGACCUUGAGGGAGCCACAAUAAACGCUGUGUUUGUUUGAUAAAGCAGUUGGCUUUUGGUCUGGCAGGAGGAAGAGCUGGAACAGGUGUGGCAAGAGCGGGCAGCCUGCAGCACCUCUGUGGGAGAUGGGUGAGACAGCCCCAGGGCCUGGCAGGGGGCUCCAGGGCUGUGAGUUUUGAAGAAACCUAGGGACUUUCUCAGCCAUCUCUCUCAUGUGGCACCACCCCAGGGCCUGGCAGGGGGCUUUGUGGGUGUGGAGUUUGAAGAAACCUAGGGACUUUCUCACAACCUAGCCAUCCCCCACGCGUGGCCACCUCUCUCAUGUGGCACCACCCCAGGGCCUGGCAGCGCGCUCCAGGGCUGUGGAGUUUGAAAAUCCCAGGGACAGCCAGGCACGGUGGCUCACGCCUGUAAUCCCAGCACUUUGGAAGGCCGAGGUGGGCAGAUCACCUGAGGUCAGGAGUUCAAGACCAUCCUGGCAAACAUGAUGAAACCCUGUCCCUACUAAAAAUACAAAAAUUAGCUGGGUGCAGUGGCAGGCACCUGUAAUCCCAGCUACUUGGGGGGCUGAGGCAGGAGAAUCGCUUGAACCCGGGAGGCGGAGGUUGCAGUGAGUGGAGAUUGCGCCAUUGCACUCCAGUCUGGGUGACAGAACGAGAUUCUAUCUCAAAAAAAGAAAAAAAAGGCCGGGCGCAGUGGCUCACGCCUGUAAUCCCAGCACUUUGGGAGGCCAAGGUGGGCGGAUCACGAGGUCAGGAGAUCGAGACCAUCCUGGCUAACAUGGUGACACCCCGUCUCUACUAAAAAAAUACAAACAAUUAGCCAGGCGUGGUGGUGGGCGCCUGUAGAACCAGCUACUCGGGAGGCUGAGGCAGGAGAAUGGUGUGAACCUGGGAGGCAGAGCUUGCAGUGAGCUGAGAUCGCGUCACUGCACUCCAGCCUGGGCGACAGAGCAAGACUCCGUCUAAAAAAUAAAUAAAAACAAAAACAAAAACAAAACAGAAAAUCCCAGGGACUUUCUCACCAUCCACCCAACACUCUCAUGUUCCCAGGCCCCUGCCUGACGGAAUACACCAAAAUUUUUUUUUUUUUCUGAGAUGGAGUCUCACUCCCUCGUCCAGGGUGGAGUGCAGUGGUGUGAUCUCGGCUCACUGCAACCUCCGCCUUCUGGGUUCAAGAAAUUCUCCUGCCUCAGUCUCCCAAGUAGCUGAGAUUAUAGUUGUAAGCCACUGCACCUGGCUGUGAGCCACCACGCCCAGCCCAAAAUCUUAACAAUACAAACUCACAUUAAUUGAACUCCUACUGUAUACAUAGCACUAUGCCAUGUGCUUUUCGUGCAGACAGGCAUGCCUUCAUUCCACAGAUAUUUCUGACCAGCCUCCUUGUGCCAGCCCUCUCUGGGUGCUACAGACAGAGAGAAACAGCUCAAGACACUGUCCGUGACCUUGGGAGAUGACUUUCUGGUAGAGAAGUCUAACAAGAAACAAAACAACAAUUGGCCAGGCUUGGUCACUCACACCUGUAAUCCCAGCAUUUUGGGAGGCUGAGGCAGGCAGAUCACUUGAGGCCAGGAGUUCGAGACCAGCCUGGCCAACAUAGCGAAAUCCCAUCUCUACUAAAAAUACAAAUUAUUAUCUGGGCACGGUGGCUGACACCUGUAAUCCCAGCUGCUUGGGAGGCUAAGGCAGGAGAAUCGCUUGAACCUGGGAGGUGGAGGUUGCAGAGUGAGACUCUGUCCCAAAAAAAGAAAAGAAAAGAAAGGGCCAAGCGCAGUGGCUCACGCCUAUAAUCCCAGCACUUUGGGAGGCUGAGGUGGGCGGAUCACAAGGUCAGGAGUUUGAGACCAGCCUGGCCAAUAUGGUGAAACCCCGUCUCUACUAAAAAUACAAAAAUUAGCCAGGCGUGGUGGCACGUACCUGUAGUCCCAGCUACUCAGGAGGCUGAGGCAGAAGAAUCGCUUGAACCCUGGCGCUGGAGGUUGCAGUGAGCUGAGAUCGAGCCACUGUACUCCAGCCUGGGCGACAGAGCGAGACUCUGUCUAAAAAACAAAAAAGAAACAAAACAAUAUACAGGGACAUAGUAGGUGCUGUGACAAGGUGACAAUAGGCUACAUGGGAACCCAAAGGAUGGCCCAGUUAAGCCUCAACACAGCCCAGUGUUAUUAUCAUACCCAUUUUGUAGAUGAGGAAACUGAGGUUCAAAGGAGUAAACUCCACUGUUUACCUGGUCAGUUUGGUUUUGGCCAAUUUUCCUCUGCAGGGAGUAAGGAUAAAGAUGGGGAUGGAAAAGACAAGUUAGAGGGGCUCUCAUGGAUCAGCCAGUUUCAGCCUCUUUGUUGAAAUGAUGGGGAAACUGCUGGGUGUGGUGGCUCAUGCCUGUAAUCCCAGCACUUUGGGAGGCAGAGGCGGGAGGAUCACUUGAGGCCAGGAGUUUAAGACCAGCCUGGGCAACAUAGCGAGACCUCAUCUCUAUUGAAAAAAAAAAAAAUUAGCCGGGUGUGGUGGCACCCGCCUGUGGUCCCAGCCAGUUGGAAGGCUAAGGUGAGAGGAUCGCCAGAGCCCAGGAGGUAGAGGCUGUAGUGAGCCAUAAUCAUGUCAUUGUGCUCCAGCCUGGGCAAUGGAGUGAGACCCUGUCUCAAAAACAACAGCGACAACAACAAAAAAGAAAUGAUGGGAGGUUGGGUGCGGUGGCUCACACCUGUAAUCCCAGCACUUUGGGAGGCUGAGGUGGGAGGAUCACUUGAGGUCAGGAGUUUGAGACCAGCCUGGCCAACAUGGUGAAACUCCAUCUCUACUAAAAAUACAAAAAAUUAGCCAGGUGUGGUGGUACAUGCCUGUAAUUCCAGCUACUUGGGAGGCUGAGGCACGAGAAUUGCUUGGACCUGGGAGACGGAGGUUGCAGUGAGCCGAGAUCGCGCCAUAGCACUCCAGCCUGAGCAACAGAGUGAGAUUCUGUCUCAAAAAAAAAAAAAAAAAAAAGAUGGGGAAACAGACCUGGAAGGGGAAGGGAUUUUCUUGGAGCCACACAGGAAAGCAGUGGCCAGGCUGCACCUAGAGUGAUCAGGUUUUCUGACUCCCGCCUGGGGUGUGUUUCCUGAUGCCAAAUGCCUUUCUCUUCUCUGGCUGUUGGAAGAUUUCCUGGAACCCUUUACCUGGGACCCUGCUCAGCUGUGGUCUCUGUGUUACCAGCUCCGCCACCUCCGCUUAGGCCUUAGACUCCAGAAAGGAUAAAAAAAAGAAGUUAGGAUGGACCUGAAGCCAGACACAGAUGUGUGUGCACAUGGGGGAAGCUGUAGGAUGGAGUAGGAUACCUCCCUUCCCCCAUCCCUCCCCCAGGAGGCCCCAGGGGUGCCCAGGUGUUGGGAGAGACAAGGGGAGACUCUGAAGCCUGGGAGCCCUGCCAUUGGGGAUUGGAUCUGUCUCCCUUCUCUGCCACAUCCCCCUGGCUUGGGGUUGCUGGGGUGGGCUAAGGAGGCAGGCGAGACCUGGGCCUCACAGUGUAGCCAGGAGGGAUGGCGUCCAGGCUGCUCUCUUGAAGCUGCUGGUAAAUGAAUAACCCUGCCCCUGCCUCCAUGGCUCCCCGGCUCUCCUGGCCAGGGACUGCUGGGGGUGGAGGCAGAUGCAACCCCUUGGUCCUCUGCCCAUGCCUGCAAAUCCCAUCCCAGACAGACCCAGAGAAACCUCCUCUCGGUUCCCUCCAUCUCCUUUCCCUAAGCCCCUUCAUUGUCUAAGGCGACCUCCUUCUCCCAUCCUUUCCUCUCACUAAGCCCGGCCCCUUCACUGAGCCCCCUCCAAUCUCUAAGCCCCCUUCCCUCUUGGAGCCCUUCCCCUUGCUGAGCCCCACCCCUUUUCCAGUCCCAUCCUUUCAUCCUCAUCCCCUCCCUCCCUCUCUUUCUUUCCCUCUCUUUCCCUCCCUUCUACCCUCCCUCCCUCUAUCUCUUCCUCUUCCUCCCUCCCUCUUUCCCUCCCUUUCUUUCUUUCCUUUCCUUCCUUCCUUUUUUUUCUUUUUUCUUUGUCUUUCCUCCCUUUCUUUCUUUCCCCUUCUUUCGUUCUUUCUCUUUCUCUUUCUUCCUUUCCUCUUUCUCUCUCUUUUCCUCCUUCCCUUUCUCCUUUCCUUUCUCCCUUCCUCUCUUUCUCUUCUUUCUUUCUCUUUCUCUCCCUCCCCCAUCUUUCUUUUUCUCUCUUUCUUUUCCUUUCCUUCCUCUCUCUCUCACUUUCACUCUCUUCUCUCUUGCCCCCCCCUUCUCUCUCCUCUCUCUCUCCCAUCCUUCUCUCUUUCUCCUUUUUCUUUUUGAGAUGGAAUUUUGCUCUUGUUGCCAGGCUGGAGUGCAAUGGCUUGGUCUCGGCUCACUGCAACCUCUGCCUCCCAGAUUCAAGCAAUUCUCCUGCCUCAGCCUCCCGAGUAGCUGGGAUUACAGAUGCCCGCCACCACACCUGGCUGAUUUUUGUAUUUUUAGUAGGACGAGGUUUCACCAUGUUGGCCAGGCUGGUCUCGAACUCCUGACCUCAGGUGAUCCGCCCGCCUCGGCCUCCCAAAGUGCUGGGAUUACAUGUGUGAGCCACCGUACCCGGCUGUCCCCUCCCUUCCCCUCCCCUCUCCUUUCCUUUUUUUGUCUUGCUGUGCCGCCCGCCUCGGCCUCCCAAAGUGCUGGGAUUAUAGGUGUGAGCCACCAUACGCUUGACCUUUUUUUUUUUUUUUUUUUUGAGCCAGAGUUUCUCUCUUGUCGCCCAGGCUGGAGUGCAGUGGUUCGAUCUUGGCUCAUUCAACCUCUCCCUCCUGGGUUCAAACGAUUCUCUUGCCUCAGCCUCUGGAGUAGCUGAGAUUAUAGGUGCCAGCCACCACACCUGGCUAAAUUUUUUUUUUUUUUUGAGACGGAGUCUCGUUCUGUCGCCCAGGCUGGAGUGCAGUGGUGCGAUCUCGGCUCAUUACAAGCUCUGCCUCCCGGGUUCACGCCAUUCUCCUGCCUCAACCUCCCGAGUAGCUGGGACUACAGGCACCCGCCACCACACCCAGCUAAUUUUUUGUAUUUUUAGUAGAGACGGGGUUUCACCGCGUUAGCUAGGAUGGUCUCGAUCUCCUGACCUCGUGAUCUGCCUGCCUCCCCCUCCCAAAGUGCUGGGAUUACAAGCGUGAGCCACCGUGCCCAGCCAAUUUUUUGUAUUUUUAGUAGAGACAGCGUUUCACCAUGUUGGCCAGGCUGGUCUCGAACUCCUGACCUCAGGUGAUCCACCUGCAUUGGCAUCUCAAAGCGUUGGGAUUACAUGCAUGAGCCACUGCACCCAGCCUUCCUUGCUAUUAAUAGUAACCCACUUUCUCUUCCUUGGGUCAUUAGGGGUGACUAUACGUUGGUGUUUCUUAACUGGAAGGGAAUUUUUCUGGAGUUAACUGGAACGUUCUACCAUGAAAUCUAGGCUGUGCAUGGUGGCUUAUGCCUGUUAUCCCAGUACUUUCAGAGGCCGAAGCUGGAGGAUCCCUUGAGCCCAGGGAUUUGAAAGGGGCCUGGGCGACAUGGUGAGACCCCGUUUCUACAAAAAAUACAAAAAAUUAGCCAGAUGUGGUGGCUCAUGCCUGUAAUCCCAGCACUUUGGGAGGCCGAGGCGGGUGGAUGACCUGAGGUCAGGAGUUCGAGACCAGCCUGGCCAACAUGGUGAAACCCCGUCUCUCCUAAAAAUACAAAAAUAUUAGCCAGGCAUGGUGGUGGGCACCUGUAAUCCUAGCUACUUGGGAGGCUGAGGCAGGAGAAUUGCUUGAACCCGGGAGGUGGAGGUUGCAGUGAGCCAAGAUCCCGACAUUGUACUCCAGCCUGGGUGACAAGAGCAAGAUCGUCUCAUUAAAAAAAAAAAAAAAAAAAAUUAGCUGGACAUGGUGGUGUGUGCCUGUAGUCCCAGCUAGCUGCCACAGGGAUCUUUUGCCCUUUUUGCUUUAGCUUUGCUGCAGCCAAAAACAUUUUUUUGUAUUUUUUUAAAUUAUUUGUUUAUUUAUUUAUUUAUUUAUUUUUUUGAGGCAGGGUUUUGCUCUGUCACCCAGGCUGGAUGGAGUGCAGUGGCGUGAUCAUGUCUCACUGCAGCCUUGACCUCUCUAGGCUGAGGUGAUCCUCCAACGUCAGCCUCCAGAGUAGCUGAAACUGUAGGCAUAUGCCACCACACUCGGCUGAUUUUUUUUUUCUUUUUUUUUUUGAGAUGGAGUCUCACUGUCUCCCAAGCUGGAGUGCAGUGGUGCGAUCUCGGCUCACUGCAACCUCCGCAUCCCGGGUUCUAGCGAUUCUCCUGCGUCAGCCUCCCGAUUAGUUGGGAUUGCAGGUGCCUGCCACCACGCCCAGCUAAUUUUUGUAUGCUUUGUAGAGAUGGGGUUUUGCUAUGUUGCCCAGGCUGUGUUUGUGUUUGUGUUUUUAGAGACAGCCUGUCACUCAGGCUGGAGUGCAGUGGUGAAAUCAUAGCUUGCUGUAGCCUCGAACUCCUUGGCUCAAGUGAUCCUCCCAUCUCAGCCUCCCGUGUAACUGGGACUACAGGCAUGCACCACCAUGCCUGGCUAACUUUUAAAUUUUUUUGUAGAGAUGGGGUCCUUGCUAUAUUGUCCAGGCUGGUCUCAAUCUCCUGGCCUCAAAUGAUCCUCCCACCUUGGCCUCCCAAGGUGCUAGGAUUACAGACAUGAGCCAUCAUGCCCAGUAUCCAAAACAUUUGAGAUACAAUAAUUUAGAAAAAAAAAAGGCCAGCUGGGUAUGGUGGCUCACGCCUGUAAUCCCAGCACUUUGGGAGGCUGAGGCAGGCGGAUCACCUGAGGUCGGGAGUUUGAGACCAACCUGACCAACAUGGAGAAACCCUGUCUCUACUAAAAAUACAAAAUUAGUCAGGCAUGGUGGCAUAUGCCCGUAAUUCCAGCUACUUGGGAGGCUGAGGCAGGAGAAUCGCUUGAACCUGGGAGGCGGAGGUUGCGGUGAGCCGAGAUUUCGCCAUUGCACUCCAGCCUGCACUCUGUCUCAAAAAAAAAAAAAAAAAAAAAAAAUUGGGCCAGGCGCAGUGGCUCACGCCUGUACUAUAAUCCCAGCACUUUGGGAGCCCAGGCAGGCAGAUCACCUGAGAUCAGGAGUUUGAUGCCAGCCUGGCCAAUGUGGUGAAAUCCCGUCUCUACUACUAAUACAAAAAAUGAGCCAGGUGUGGUGGCACACACCUAUAACCCCAGCUACUUGGGAGGCUGAGGCAGGAGAAUUGCUUGAACCCAGGAGGUGGAGGUUGCAGUGAGCCCAGAUCACGCCACUGCACUCCAGCCUGGGUGAUGGAGUGAGACUCUGUCUAAAAAAAAAAAAAAUUUCAAGUCUCCCCAGUGCCCAAAUACAUGUGCAACCCUCGUUUCCCUUCAAGUUGCUGGCUCGACCUACAAGUCCCUUUCUUUUCUUUUUUUUUGAGACAGAGUCUCGCUCUGCUGCCCAGGCUGGAGUGCAGCGGUGAGAUGUCAGCUCACUGCAACCAGUUCAUCAUGUUGGCAGGGCUGGUCUUGAACUCCUGACAUCAGGUGAUCCUCCCGUCUUGGCCUCCCAAAGUGCAGGGAUUACAAGCGUGAGCCACUGCCCCCAGCCACAAUACCCCCCUACUUUUUUUUUUUUUUUUUUUUUUUUUUAAGACAGAGUCUGUCUCUGUCACCUAGGCUAGAGUGCAGUGGUGCGAUCUCGGCUUGCUGCAACCUCUGCCUCCUGGGUUCAAGCAAUUCUCCUGUCUCAGCCUCCCAAGUAGCUGGGAUUACAGGCGUGUGCCACCACACCCGGCUAAUUUUUAAUAUUUUUGGUAGAGAUGGGGUUUCACCAUGUUGACCAGGCUGGUCUCGAACUCCUGACCUCAAGUGAUCCUCCCAAAGUACUGGGACUACAGUGCCCACCACCAUGCCUGGCUAAUUUUUGUAUUUUUAGUAGAGUUGGGGUUUCACCAUGUUGGCCAGGCUUGUCUUGAACUCCUGGGCUCAAGCUAUCCCCCUCACCCCAACCCCUGCCACGCCUCGGCCUCCCAAAGUGCUGGGGUUACAAGCGUGAGCCACUGCUCCCAGCCACAAUUCCCUUUCUAUGCAAAUCUCUUGCACGCAUUGUCUACGGCUCCUGGUUUCAACUCUCGCCUCCCACUCCCUUUUCCAUCUAGUGUUUCCGUUUCCACACCUCUUGCUAAGGCCACCAAUGACCACCUGGCUACUGUGAAUUCCGUGGCUAUUCCUCAGGUCUCAUCUUGCCUGACCACUCCUGCAACCUCAGACACUGUUGCCCACACCCACCUCCUUGAAACUCUUUUUGUUCUGUGAGUUUCUAGACUGACUUCUUCCCCGACCCUGGUUUCGGUUGCCAUCCCUAUGCAACGACUUUCAGGUUUACGAGAUCUCUAGACGUCAUCCUACUUCCUGGACGUCUCUGCCAGGACGUUCUCCAGACUCGCCAAACUCUACAUUUAUUUUAUUUUUAUUUAUUUAUUUUUUGAGACAAGAUCUCACUCUGUCGCCCAGGCUGGAUUGCAGUGGUGCAUUCUCUACUCGCUGCAGCCUCAAUCUCCUGGGCUCAAGUAAACCUCCCACCUCAGCCUCCCAUGUAGCUGGGAUUACAGGCAUAUACCACCACACCUAGCUAAUUUUUAAUUUUUUUGUAGAGAUGGGGUCUCACUAUGCUACCCAGGCUGGUCUCGGACUCCUAGGCUGAAGAUACUCUCCAGCCUUGGCCUCCCAAAGUGCUGGGAUUACAGGCGUGAGCCACCAUGCCCUGGCCUCACCAAACUCUAUACGUUCAAAAUGGAACCCAUCAUCUUUCCGUCUCCUAUUUUGGUAAAUGAUACCACUAUCCAAUCAGUGACCUAAGUUGAAACUCCCAGAUUCCAGCCUUCUUUUCUAGAUUCUCGCCUCUCUCACCCUGCACAUCCAAAUGGCUCCCGGGUCCUGCCCACUUUAACAGCCCCUGUCAGGUUCUGCCCCCACUCCCUGCCCCUGCCUAAUUUCUGGCCACCAUCAUUUCACUCCAAGAUGGCGGCAUAUCCUGUUAGGUGGUUCCCCUCCUUUAUCUUUCUCCUUGAAUCCCAGUUCCACAGGGGCUGCUGGAGAGGUUAAAAGCAUCUGACCAGGUACUUCCCCUUUCAUGACUCCCUACACCCAGAGUAAGGUUCAAAGUUUGUAAUUCCACAUACGGACUCUCCAUGACUUGGCCUUUGCUUGCUGGAGUCCUGGGCUUUACUGACACUUCCUGUCUCCCUUUAUGUUCCAUCCAGUCAUUUGAAUCUCUCGCCCCCACCAAGUCACCCUGUGCCUGGGUUCAGGCCCCUUUUCCCGCCUGAAUCUCCUGUGUUUUCUCCAAGGCACCAGUGCCUCUCCACACUGUUCACCUUAACCACUCCUCUGGGGUGUGUGUGUGUGUGUGUGUGUGUGUGUGUGUGUGUGUGUUUUGUCGUUGUUGUUUUUGAGACAGGGUCUCACUCUGUUGCCCCAGCUGGAGUGCAGUGGCACAAUCAUAGCUCACGGUAGCCUUUACCUCCUGGGCUCAAGCCAUCCUCCUGCUUCAGCCUCCUGAGUAGCUGGGACCACAGGUGUAUGCCAUCAUACCCAGUUAAUUUUUUUUUUUUUUGGUAGAGAUAGGGUCUUGCUAUGUAGCCCAGGUUGGUCUCGAACUCCUGGGCUCAAGCGAGCCUCCCACCUCGUCCUCUAGGAGUGAGCCAGUGAGACCCGGCCUCAAGCCCCUCUGAGAUACCCCUUCUAAGUCCUCCCUCUUUCCCUCCCUUGAGGGUCCCAGGAAGGAGAUGGGGACCCUUUCUCAUCUCUCCCCCAGGUGAGAAGAUUUGGCCCGGUUUUACUUUUGGUGGCGUGUUUUAUCCAAACAAUAGGUCUUUUUGUUUUCGUUUUUCCAAUAGGAAAUGGCAGUACGGAAUGCGCUCUUUCACAAGGCGCACGGGAGAUUCCGAAUGUGUCGGGUAUUGUGCGGGGUCCGGGCUCCCAGCACAGACCCAGGGGCACAUCUCUGCCACCUUCCCCUCCCAUCCCCAGCCAUGGCGUGCGGAAAGUGCUCAUGCCUGCUUCCUAGAUUGGGCGCUGGCUUUGGCCUCACAGGCUGUCUUCCGAAUCCCCAGGGAGUGGGCAAGUGACCACCCCGCCAUCACCAAGCUCAGCUUACAACCCCAUCUUCCCUCUAAGCUCCAUCCGGGAGAGCGAGAUCCAGCCAAGGCCGCCCCGAGGGGGAGCUCUGCAGGGAGGUGGAGGCGCUGGGAACAAGGAGGCUCCAGCGAGUGCAAAACGAAAGGCUUUUAUUGAAAAAUAUCAAGUGCCCCUUCCAGGGCUGCCGGUCCCUGCCCAGCGCGAGCAUGGGGGCAGCGGCCCGAUGGGGCUCGACGGGGUGGUCAAGUAUUGGCGGUCACCCAGGCCCCGUGCUCCAGAAGGGUGAGGUUUCACAGUCCAUGCAGGUUGGUCCCUGGGCCCCGAAGUCGACUGCCCGGCCCGCAAAGCCGUGGCUGCUGGGGAAGCUGCCCCAGUCCAGCGCGGGGGCUUCCUGGCUUCUGGGGGUGGGCUGGCCUCCGAGGCAAGGCUGCACGCUGGAUGGCCUGGUGCGCGCUCCAGCUCGCGGUGGUGGUGGUGGUGUUGGUGGUGGUGGUGGUGGUGGGGUCUCCCUGCGUCUGUCCCUUAGACGUAGUCCUUGCGGUCGUAGCCUGUGCCCAGGCUGGCUCCCGGGCCGGUGGAGCGCGGCGCGGAGUAGACGACCUUGGUGGCCGUGUACUUCUUCUCGCGUGGGGGACACGAGCAGCAGAGCAGCGCGCCCCCCAGCAGCUGCAGCGCCGCGGCCGCCCAGCCCACGUACAGGCCCGCGCCCAUCUCGCGCUUCUGCGCCUCGGGCACCACGGGGUUGUAGAAGUCCCGGAUAAUGGUGUUGGCCGACCAGGACACCGGCACGAGGGUGAGCAGGGCGGCGAGAAGGAACAGCACGCCUGCCACGAUGGUGAUCUUGGCCUUGGCCGUGUCGUCCUGCACGCAGUUGGUGCACUGGGCGCCCACCAGCGCCACUAGCAGCCCGAAGGCGGCCAGCAGGAUGGCCACCACGAUGAGGGCGCGGGCCGCCUGAAGGUCCUGUGGCAGUGCCAGCAGCGAGUCGUACACCUUGCACUGCAUCUGGCCGGUGCUCUGCACCACGCAGUUCAUCCACAGGCCCUCCCAGAUGUUCUGCGACGUGAUGAUGUUGCUGCCGAUGAAGGCCGACACGCGCCACAUGGGCAACGCGCAGCACACGAUGGUGCCCAGCCAGCCCAGCACGGCCAGCGCGGUGCCCGUGAUCUCCAGGCCCAUGGACAUGGCUGCCGCGGCAAGGCCCGCUCCACCGGGUGGCUCCGGGUGCGGGGAGACGAGGGGCCGGGGCCGCUGGGCCUGGCGGGAGCUGCGGCGCCCCGACGGACGGACGGACGGACGGACUGACUCACCGACGGCGCGCGCUAACGGCUCGGCUCCAUACGCUCUCGCCGCGGCUGCGCCUGCACCUGCCUGUGGCUUUGUGGGCGGGCGGCGGCGACUGGGCUGGCCCUGGGCUGGGGCCGGUGCGUCUUAGCUAAGUGCCCAGCGCUCCGGUGGGGGCGGUAGGGGCGGAGCCGCGCUCUCCAGGGCCUAAGGACAGUGACGUGGCCCCUGCCUCCCACCUUCACCGAGCGUCCUGGGAGGAAGGACUUGGCCCUGCGCGGCCCACAACGCCGGGGUAGGGGGGUUGCCAAGGAAGGGCGGGACCUGACCCAGCCCCCGCCCCUCGGUCCUUGUCCCUCUCUGCUCGGGAAUGAAUUCUCCGGGGCAAAACCGAGGACGGGAUGCGUCAGGGGCUUGGGGUGCAAAUCCCAAAGAAUUUGACACGGCUUCUCUCUCCUCACCACUUUGGGCGCUUUUGGCACGUGCCGCGUGGGGAUGGGGGCGCUGCCAAUUACCCCGGAACGGCGGGGCGGGGAGGACCAGGGUGGGCGUGGCCGCGGCUGUUUGCAGGAGCCGCGCACCUGCUGCUCUGCCCCUCCCGUACACACGUCGCACAGGCUCAGCCUGAGUCCGGGCGGUGGGGUUGUCCAGCCCAGGAAUUGCUGGGCCCAGAAGCCAGGGACUGCCUGCGCAAAGGUACCCAAAAGAUGCCCUUAAGCCUAACUAAGCUCAAAUUCCUCUCCAGCUCUCCCUCCAGUUCCCAUCGCUGGCCGUGAGCCUGCAUGCCUUUAGCUAAGCUGCUCUCCCCUCCCAGAAGUCCCCCUCCUCCCAUUGAGUCCCCUCCCCUCUCCGAGCCCUGUCCUCCCUCCCUUUGAGCCUGAGUCAGGGCUGAGGCCCACCUUAAUGAAAUGGUGGUGAAAGAGGUUCGAUCUCCGCAAAAGUGGGAAAUCGGGCAGGACCGAGCACCGUGGUGGCUGACUCCUGUAAUCCUCGCACUUUGGGAGGCUGAGAAGGGAGGAUUGCUUGAGACCAGGAGUUCGACACCAGCCUGGGCAAAAUAGUGAGACCCCGUCUCUACAAAAAAUUAAAAAACUAGCCAGGUGUGGUGGCGUGUGCCUAUAGUCCCAACUACUCCGGAGGCUCAGGCAGGAAAUUACUUGAGCCCAGGAGUUCGAGGCUGCAGUGAGCUAUGAUCGCACCACUGCACUCCAGCCUGGGCAUCAGAGCAGACCCUGUUUAAAAAAAAAAAAAAAAAAAAAAAAAAAGGUUGGGAAGUCAGAAAUGCUACACUCAAAGCCCUGGCUGUCACACCUGGACGAUCGUUCCCCCUUCUUCACCAAGCUCAGAGCCCUUCAGAUUUGGCCUUGGAGGUUCAGCCUGGGCUGUUCCUAACCCCAUCCCCUCUCUUCCCCUCAGAGCAGCCCUUGCAUACCACAUGCCCCUGCCUCAGAGUCCCUGCACUUACUGUCCCCUGUACAUGGAACAUGCCUGCAGACAUCCACAUAGCUUACUCCUAACUGCCUUCAGCUUUUUGCUCUCAGUGAGUCUUUCCCUGACCACCCUAUUUAAAACUGCAGCUUCUGGCUGGGUACGGUGGCUCACGCCUGUAAUCCCAGCACUUUGGGAGGCUGAGGCGGGUGGAUCACUUGAGGUAAGGAGUUCCAGACCAGCCUGGCCAACGUGGCGAAAUCCCGUCUCUACUAAAAAUGCAAAAAUUAGCCAGGCGUGGUGGUACACGCCUGUAAUACCAGCUACUCGGGAGGCUGAGGCAAGAGAAUUGCUUGAACCCAGGAGGUGGAGGUUGCAGUGAGCUGAGAUCACACCCCUGCACUCCAACCUGGGUGACAAAGCGAGACUCUUUGUCUCAAAAUAAAAUAAAUAAAAUAAAAUAAAAUAAAAUUGCAGUUUCUUACCCCACAAUGCCUGCCCCCCUUUAAUACUUUAUAUUCUGCUUAGCAUGUAACACCAUCGGACAAUAUUCUAUAUUUUUCUUAUUUAUGUUUCAUUGUACUUAAAAAAAUUUUAAAUUGGCAAUGAUCGUACCUACGCGUGGCACACCCAGUGAUGUUUUAAUACAUAGAAUGUAUAGUAAUCAUAUCAGGGUAAUUGGCAUAUUCAUCAUCUCAAACUUUUAUUUCUUUGUGCUGGGAACGUUCAAUAACUUAUUUAUUUAUUUAUUUUAGAGACAGUGUCUUGCUCUGUCACCCAGGCUGGAGUGCAGUGGUACUAUCAUAGCUCACUGCAGCCUUGAAUUCUUGGGCUUAAGCAAUCCUCUAGCUAUAGCCUCCCAAGUAGCUGGGACUACAGGCAUAUACCACCAAGCCCACCUAAUUGUUUCAUUUUUUUUUGUAGAGAUGGGGUCUCACUGUGUUGCCCAGGCUAGUCUUGAACUCCUGGUCUCAAGCAAUCCCCCAACCUUGGCAUCCCGAAGUGCUAGGAUUACAGGUGUGAGCAGCAGUGCCCAGCCUAUUUUUUUUUUUAAACGAAAUCUCGCUCUUUUGACCAGGCUGGAGUGCAGUGGUGCAAUUUCGGCUCACUGCAACCUCCACCUCCUGGGUUCAAGCAAUUCUUCUGCCUCAGCCUCCCAAGUAGCUGGGACUACGGGCACGUGCCACCACGCCCAGCUAAUUUUUGUAUUUUUAGUAGAGAUGGGGUUUCACCAUAUUGGCCAGGUGGUCUCGAACUCCUGACCUCAUGAUCUGCCCGCCUUGGCCUCCCAAAGUGCUGGGAUUACAGGCAUGAGCCAUGGCACCCAGCCAAUUUUUAAAUUGUUUCUUUCUUUCUGUUCCAGUAUGUCAGCUCCAUUGGGACAUCUGUAAUGUCCCAGAACAGGCAAGAAUUUUGCUGGUUUUAUUCACUGCUGCAUUCCUAUUGCCUAGAAUGGUGUUGGGUACUCAACAGAGAGUCGAUUUAGUGACUUGAAUGAAGGGAAGACUUUCUCAUGUUCCUUCAACCUUGCCUACCCAGGCUUUCCUACUGGCAUAAAUGACUGAUAAAGGGAUACUGCUGUGCUGAGUCAAGGGGGCUUGGUCAUCUUGUAGGAGUCAAGGGCUCUUCCAGAGAGAAGAGAGACCCCAUUGAGCUGGGCCUUGGGGUUUUUUGGGGUUGCCUCCAUAUCUCAAAUCACAGGCAUGCAGCCUGUGCCCUCUUCUGUAAAUGCCUAAGCCUUGGAAUGAUAGAAGAGCAAGAAACAUGGCUGGGUGCAGUGGCUCACACCUGUAAUCCCAGCACUUUGGGAAGCUGAGGCGGGUGGAUCACCUGAGGUCAGGAGUUCGAGACCAGCCUGGCCAGCAUGGUGAAACCCCGUCUCUACUAAAAAUACAAAAAUUAGCUGGGCGUGGUGGCAUGCACCUGCAGUGCCAGCUACUCGGGAGGCUGAGGCAUGAGAAUCGCUUGAACCCAGGAGGCGGUGGUUGCAGUGAGCUGAGAUCGUACCACUGCACUCCAGCCUGGGCGACAGGGCGAGACUCCAUUUCAAAAAAAUAAAAAAAAAGAAAAGAAGAAGAAGAGUAAGAAACAGUGUCAGGGGCUCAUGGAAACCAGGGUUCUACUUCUUUCAGGAGCAAAGGUCUUGGGCUGCACCUGUUGGGCAGGGCCUGGGCAGAUCUGGGAGUGCCAGUCCAGAGGGCCCAGCUGGUGCUGGGUGGAGCUGUUCUAGAGGAAGUUCAUAUAACUCAAGUCCUCCAGUGGACUACUGGCUGCUACAGUUUCCUGGUGAGUGGGGGUGGCUCUGGGCCAGAAGAAAAGUAGACCCUCCAGGUGGUGUGGCUGGGCUUAGACUAGGGGUUGAGGCCCAGAGUGGUCCCCACUGCACUGCCAGUUGUGCCUGGAUUGGGCACUGUGAGCCCUACGCCUGCUGGCCUUGAGGCUGGUGAAAGUCACGUCGCCUCUCUUAGCCUCAGUUUCCUCCUCUAUAAAAUUAGGGAAAUGGUGUCUGCAUGACUCACUUCCAGGGUUAUGGUAAGAAUAGAGGCGAUGUUAAGUAUGCUAUAAAAGCAGAAAACAGCCAGGCAGGGCAUGUAUAUGUCCAGAGAAAUUGUACAGAGAAAAGGUAGAUCUGAACUUGAGCCUGGCUUUGCUCUCCUGGGUCACGAGCGCUUGAGCCAGUCCUUUUACCACCUUGAGCCUCAGUUUCCCCAUCUGUGAGACAAGAGUUGUCCUGAGUUGCUUGGGUUUGGGGCUUGUCCCUGAGCCUGGGGGAGGUGGACCUGCUGGGCAGGGCUGCACUGAGAUGAGGCCAGCAGGACAGAGCUUCAUGCCCAGAGGCCAAACUUCAGGGACUUUGCAAAUAAGACUUUGCCUCUGGGCAAACACAGCUCCAAUCAGCUUUUUGCUCAAUACCUACCAUGAUUCCUACAACUCAAUAAUAAAAAGACAAAUAAACCAAUUAAAAAAUGGCCAAAGAAACUGAGCAGACAUUUAGAAUAGAGAAAGAAUGUAUAAAAAUGGCCAAUAAAUGUGACUAGGGGGCGGUAUCUCACGGCUGUGAUCUCGGCACUUUGUGAGGCCAAGGCAGGAGGAUCGCUUGAGGCCAGGAGUUUAAGACCAGCCUGGACAACAUAGCGAGACCUUGUCUCUACUUAAAAAAAAAAAAAAUUAGCCAGGGAUGGUGGUGUACACCUGUAGUUCCCAGCUACUUGGGAGGCUGAGGUGGGAGAAUUGCUUGAGCCCAGGAGUUUGAGGCUGCAGUGAGCUAUGACUGUGUUACUGCACUCCAAUCUGGGCAAGGGAGCAAGAUGUGUCUCAAAAAAAAAAAAAUCCAAUAAAUACAUGAAAAGAUGCUCAACAUCAUUGGUCAUUAGAGAAAUGCAAAUCAAAGCCACAAAGAGAUACCACUUUGCACCCACUAGGGAGGCAAUAAUCAAAUAACAAAUGUUGGUGAGGAUGUGGAGAAAUUGACACCCUGAUACAUUGCUGGUGGCAAUGUAAGUGGGGCAUCUGCUGUGGAAAACAAUCUGGUGGUCCUUCAGAAGAUUACAUUGCUGACUCAUGUUACCAUAUGACUCAGCAAUUUUCGUCUAGGAAUACCCAAGAGACACAAAAGCAUAUGAGCAGGUCAGACAAAAAAAACUUGUACCUGAAUGUUUGUAGCAACAUUGUGCAUAAUAGCCAAAAAGUGGAAACAUCCUAAAUGUUCAUCAACUGAUGAAUGGGUAAAUAAAAUGUGAUCUAGCCAUACAAAGUAAUAUUAUGCAGCCAUUAAAAAGGAAUAAAGUACUGAUACAUGUUGCAACAUGAAGGAACCUUGAAGACAUUGCAGUAAGUGAAAGAGGCAGGACCAUCUAUUGUAUGAUUUCAUUUAUUUA
Molecule: long non-coding RNA, 39838 nt
Filed under: Homo sapiens (human)
Lineage: Eukaryota; Metazoa; Chordata; Mammalia; Primates; Hominidae
Description: HSALNT0341519
Rfam family: Metazoan signal recognition particle RNA (bases 21284-21400)
Source: RNAcentral